GACGAACGCUGGCGGCGUGCUUAACACAUGCAAGUCGAACGGGGCUAUUAUGAAAGCUUGCUUUCAUAAUAGCCUAGUGGCGAACGGGUGAGUAACACGUAACUAACCUGCCUACUAGCGGGGGAUAACUAUUGGAAACGAUAGCUAAUACCGCAUAACAGUGUUUAACACAUGUUAGAUGCUUGAAAGAUGCAAUUGCAUCACUAGUAGAUGGACCUGCGUUGUAUUAGCUAGUUGGUGGGGUAACGGCCCACCAAGGCGACGAUACAUAGCCGACCUGAGAGGGUGAUCGGCCACACUGGGACUGAGACACGGCCCAG
RNAcentral lists this ribosomal RNA (320 nucleotides) under uncultured bacterium. Its description in RNAcentral is "bacterial SSU rRNA". It matches the Rfam family "Bacterial small subunit ribosomal RNA", at positions 28 to 334 of the family's 1533-position model. The record is from RNAcentral.